This is a small nuclear RNA of Fukomys damarensis (Damara mole-rat), 143 nucleotides long. Its record names the gene U4. It matches the Rfam family "U4 spliceosomal RNA". Rfam says of the family: U4 small nuclear RNA (U4 snRNA) is a component of the major U2-dependent spliceosome. The structure of U4 snRNA from yeast and human has been reported. NCBI's taxonomy places the organism in Eukaryota, Metazoa, Chordata, Mammalia, Rodentia, Bathyergidae. The record is from Ensembl.
AGCUUUGUGCAGUGGCAGUAUCGUAGCCAGUGAGGUUUAUCCAAGGCACAAUUAUUGCUAAUUGAAAGCAGUCCAUCUAUUAUUUACAUUUAGUCCAUAGCACCUAAGAGCCAGGUGGAACUUGAAGGAAGCUCUAGUGAGAG